This 443-nucleotide ribosomal RNA is filed under the name uncultured bacterium. Its description in RNAcentral is "partial 16S ribosomal RNA". It matches the Rfam family "Bacterial small subunit ribosomal RNA", at positions 338 to 795 of the family's 1533-position model. The record is from RNAcentral.
CCUACGGGUGGCUGCAGUGGGGAAUAUUGGGCAAUGGGCGCAAGCCUGAUCCAGCAACGCCGCGUGAGGGAAGAAGUCUUUCGGUUUGUAAACUUCUUUCCUCAGGGACGAAGAAAGUGACGGUACCUGAGGAAUAAGCCCCGGCUAACUACGUGCCAGCAGCCGCGGUAAUACGUAGGUGGCAAGCGUUAUCCGGAUUUACUGGGUGUAAAGGGCGUGUAGGCGGAAGUGCAAGUCGGAUGUGAAAACCCAGGGCACAAGCCGCGGCCUGCAUUUGAAACGGUGUUUCUUGAGUGCUGGAGAGGCAAUCGGAAUUCCGUGUGUAGCGGUGAAAUGCGUAGAUAUACGGAGGAACACCAGUGGCGAAGGCGGAUUACUGGACAGUAACUGACGCUGAGGCGCGAAAGCGUGGGGAGCAAACAGGAUUAGAUACCCUAGUAGUC